This 740-nucleotide ribosomal RNA is filed under the name Acinetobacter schindleri. Its description in RNAcentral is "bacterial SSU rRNA". It matches the Rfam family "Bacterial small subunit ribosomal RNA", at positions 23 to 759 of the family's 1533-position model. Lineage: Bacteria; Pseudomonadati; Pseudomonadota; Gammaproteobacteria; Moraxellales; Moraxellaceae. The record is from RNAcentral.
CUCAGAUUGAACGCUGGCGGCAGGCUUAACACAUGCAAGUCGAGCGGGGAAGGUUGNUUCGGUAACUGACCUAGCGGCGGACGGGUGAGUAAUGCUUAGGAAUCUGCCUAUUAGUGGGGGACAACAUUCCGAAAGGAAUGCUAAUACCGCAUACGCCCUACGGGGGAAAGCAGGGGAUCUUCGGACCUUGCGCUAAUAGAUGAGCCUAAGUCGGAUUAGCUAGUUGGUGGGGUAAAGGCCUACCAAGGCGACGAUCUGUAGCGGGUCUGAGAGGAUGAUCCGCCACACUGGGACUGAGACACGGCCCAGACUCCUACGGGAGGCAGCAGUGGGGAAUAUUGGACAAUGGGCGGAAGCCUGAUCCAGCCAUGCCGCGUGUGUGAAGAAGGCCUUUUGGUUGUAAAGCACUUUAAGCGAGGAGGAGGCUCCUUUAGUUAAUACCUAAAGAGAGUGGACGUUACUCGCAGAAUAAGCACCGGCUAACUCUGUGCCAGCAGCCGCGGUAAUACAGAGGGUGCGAGCGUUAAUCGGAUUUACUGGGCGUAAAGCGUGCGUAGGCGGCUUUUUAAGUCGGAUGUGAAAUCCCUGAGCUUAACUUAGGAAUUGCAUUCGAUACUGGAAAGCUAGAGUAUGGGAGAGGAUGGUAGAAUUCCAGGUGUAGCGGUGAAAUGCGUAGAGAUCUGGAGGAAUACCGAUGGCGAAGGCAGCCAUCGGCCUAAUACNGACGNNAGGUACGAAAG